AGCAGCCGCGGUAAUUCCAGCUCCAAUAGCGUAUAUUAAAGUUGUUGCAGUUAAAAAGCUCGUAGUUGAAUUUCGGGGUUAGUAGAUUGGUCGUGCCAUUGGUACGUACUGGUCUUACUGAUUCCUCCUUUCUGAUGAACCGUAAUGCCAUUAAUUUGGUGUUGCGGGGAAACUGGACUGUUACUUUGAAAAAAUUAGAGUGUUUAAAGCAGGCUCGCGCUUGAAUACAUUAGCAUGGAAU
This 241-nucleotide ribosomal RNA is filed under the name uncultured Glomus. Its description in RNAcentral is "partial 18S ribosomal RNA". It matches the Rfam family "Eukaryotic small subunit ribosomal RNA", at positions 569 to 815 of the family's 1831-position model. The record is from RNAcentral. Lineage: Eukaryota; Fungi; Glomeromycota; Glomeromycetes; Glomerales; Glomeraceae.